CGGAAUUGGUAGACGCUACGGACUUAAAAUCCGUUGGCUUUAUUGACCGUGAGGGUUCAAGUCCCUCUACCCCCA
RNAcentral lists this transfer RNA (75 nucleotides) under Daltonia sp. YL-2021. Its description in RNAcentral is "partial tRNA-Leu". It matches the Rfam family "tRNA", at positions 11 to 71 of the family's 71-position model. From Rfam's summary of the family: Transfer RNA (tRNA) molecules are approximately 80 nucleotides in length. Their secondary structure includes four short double-helical elements and three loops (D, anti-codon, and T loops). Further hydrogen bonds mediate the characteristic L-shaped molecular structure. tRNAs have two regions of fundamental functional importance: the anti-codon, which is responsible for specific mRNA codon recognition, and the 3' end, to which the tRNAs corresponding amino acid is attached (by aminoacyl-tRNA synthetases). tRNAs cope with the degeneracy of the genetic code in two manners: having more than one tRNA (with a specific anti-codon) for a particular amino acid; and 'wobble' base-pairing, i.e. permitting non-standard base-pairing at the 3rd anti-codon position. The record is from RNAcentral. Lineage: Eukaryota; Viridiplantae; Streptophyta; Bryopsida; Hookeriales; Daltoniaceae.